Molecule: ribosomal RNA, 258 nt
Filed under: uncultured bacterium
Lineage: Bacteria
Description: partial 16S ribosomal RNA
Rfam family: Bacterial small subunit ribosomal RNA
Source: RNAcentral
UACGGGGGGGGCAAGCGUUGUUCGGAAUUUACUGGGCGUAAAGAGCUCGUAGGUGGUUUUUGUCGCGUUUGUUCGUGAAAACUCACAGCUCAACUGUGGGCGUGCGGGCGAUACGGGCAGACUAGAGUACUGCAGGGGAGACUGGAAUUCCUGGUGUAGCGGUGAAAUGCGCAGAUAUCAGGAGGAACACCGAUGGCGAAGGCAGGUCUCUGGGCAUUAACUGACGCUGAGGAGCGAAAGCAUGGGGGAGCGAACAGG